Sabethes cyaneus is the source of this 823-nucleotide long non-coding RNA. RefSeq lists it as uncharacterized. The record is from RefSeq and is a predicted model, not a curated record. The transcript is spliced from 3 exons. NCBI's taxonomy places the organism in Eukaryota, Metazoa, Arthropoda, Insecta, Diptera, Culicidae.
GGAACAAACCAGUGACAGUUGACUAAGUCACGAUUAUCACGUGUUGAUGUGGAAAAGAGUGGCCGCUGGCUUGCCUGUGCAGAAUUUAAAUAGAGUAAUUAAUGCGCGAGGAUAAGGAAAGGUAAAAAAUUGCAGUAAAUCUUGCUGCCGCGGACAUAGGGAUCAUAUUACAGUCAGUUGGUAGUUUGACUCUCUGUCUAGCCCUGUCCGUAAGCCAGCCAAACCCGGCUAGGAAAAGGGGUCAUUAAAGAAGUUCAGUAUUUACAAGUGCAAGUGCAAGUGAGCGGAAGAGUUGUUACGGCCGACUGGCAGCAAGAUACCCCCAGAACUAGGGCUUGGCCUUCUGGAUUAUGCUGUUUAGUGAGUACCCGCCGCGCGCUGACAACGCGUCGCCUUGAAUGGUGUGACUUGUAGAGUUCUAGUUUUCAAUAAGGCUGGUGCGCGACUAGAUUAGCAGUGAUUGUGUGGCACCGAGUGGCGUUCUAUUCCGUGUCGUGCCCCUGGAACCACGGUGCUUGCUGAUAAGUGACUGUCGUUGUUGUGGCUGCUGUCCGGCUCCGUAGGCUGUGUAAGGUAGCACAAACGGUGGACACCACUCGUCAGUACCGGUUGCUGCUGAGUCUGCUGCCCCACCGAGGCGUCCUUCCAGCCCACAAAGGAGAAGGAUUAUCAUUUUGAUACGGUGUACUGGAAUUUUAAUGGUUUACAUGAAUGGACUUGGCAAUGACCCUCUGUCUGCGAAGGAGGCAGAGGGCCCACCAGUCCAGCUGGAACCAGUCGAUCUCAGCGUCCGUUCACCCCCAAAAGGUAAGUGAACACGAGG